RNAcentral lists this transfer RNA (67 nucleotides) under Sceloporus woodi. Its description in RNAcentral is "tRNA-Lys". It matches the Rfam family "tRNA". Rfam says of the family: Transfer RNA (tRNA) molecules are approximately 80 nucleotides in length. Their secondary structure includes four short double-helical elements and three loops (D, anti-codon, and T loops). The record is from RNAcentral. Lineage: Eukaryota; Metazoa; Chordata; Lepidosauria; Squamata; Phrynosomatidae.
CACUAAGAAGCUUUACAUAGCACUAGCCUUUUAAGCUAGAGAAGGGGAAGCAUCUCCCCCUCAGUGA